CAGGGGCAAAAGGAUGCAGGGAGGCUGCUGAUUUCCACUGGAGAGCUAAUUUCCUGUGAGAUAUUAACCGUGAUUUAAGAAAAAAAUUCCUGUAACUGUAAUGUCUUACAAUAACAGAAUGCAGGAGAGCACAUAUCAAUGAAGAAAAGACAAAAUGUAUUUAUCCAUGAAGCUGAGGUUAAGAAACCAGUGUCUUCAAGAGCCGGGGACAGCACUGGGUCUGUGCAGAGUUGAGAGAUGGUGAUGACAUGGUGAGACACAAACUCAAUCUAUUUCAUAGUUUGUCUGUGGCCAUUCCUAUUAAUAAACUUCCUUUCACAACUGUUUCAAUAUUCACACAAAAAUGUUAACCCAAUCUGCAGUUAUACCCCUUGAAUGUAAAAUAAAAAACAAAAGCCAAUAAUAAAAAACAAAAGCCAAAAAUAAAAAACCCAAUCUGCAGUUAUACCCCUUGAAUGUAAAAUAAAAAACAAAAGCCCACAAAAAUAUGAAUCCACACUUAAAAGGUGGAUUUAUUUAGCACAGUACGGAGUUUCUUAGACUUCUCUAUCACUGUCUCUAACAAUGACAUACUCACCUAACCCCACCAAGAGCAAUUUUAUUUCGUCUCUAGUUUUCAUCUAAAGAUUCAUGUGGAUUUUAGAUUCUACUCUUUUGUAGGUUCAUAUUUGUACUAUUAUAAAAUGUGACUCUCUCUCCAAACUUUGCCUAAAUUAUGGAAUG
Molecule: small RNA, 723 nt
Filed under: Pongo abelii (Sumatran orangutan)
Lineage: Eukaryota; Metazoa; Chordata; Mammalia; Primates; Hominidae
Description: retained intron
Source: RNAcentral